UGAAAUGCAAGGAGGUAAAGAUAAAGGUAGCCUGAGCUGCAUGAAGGAGCUGUGCCAACUGAGAGUUCAAGGGUAUAGUAGAAGACCGUGAUGUCUGGAAGACUACCAUAUGAGGAGUUAGUGAUCCAUAUAACGGCAAAUUCAGACCUCCAUUGUGCUCAGCCAGAGAGGGGAGCAAGACGGGACCUUUGGUGCUCUCUUUGUGCAUGCUCUUUGUGUAUCUAUGGAAAUGAGCACAGAAGGAGCCGUGAUGCUUGUGGUCGCACUUUUGUUUUGAAGUUAGCACAUAAAGGCAGUGAGAGUGCCUAAGGAAAAAAGAAAAAAUAAUGCAUAGAAAAAAUAAGACAGAGGCGUAAUGCAGCCAGAAGAUAGAAUACCUUUUAACCCUUCCUAUUUAUUUUCUUCUGUCAAUUUAUAAUAAGCAUAGUUGCCAAAUCCAUAUCAGCUGCAAAAUUAAUGCAAAAAUUUCUUCCUUUGGUAUCAAUAAUCCUACCAGCAAAACACACAUUAGAGCUAGUUAGCAUGAUCUGCUAUUCCAAGAGUUCAGCUAACAGG
Molecule: long non-coding RNA, 555 nt
Organism: Cygnus olor (mute swan)
Lineage: Eukaryota; Metazoa; Chordata; Aves; Anseriformes; Anatidae
Exons: 3
Source: RefSeq, a predicted model, not a curated record